RNAcentral lists this long non-coding RNA (1783 nucleotides) under Elaeis guineensis (African oil palm). RNAcentral describes it as "long non-coding RNA (EGUI_LNC017728)". Lineage: Eukaryota; Viridiplantae; Streptophyta; Magnoliopsida; Arecales; Arecaceae. The record is from RNAcentral.
ACCGAAGAAGGCAACAGCACAGUCGGAUGAUGAAGAAUGAUGUUCUGUACCCAACAAAGUUGAAAUUGGGGUAAACAGAAUUCCGUAGGAUGCAGUUAUGUAUUAUGUUCUUUCAAACUUACAUUAGUCUUGCUCGAGCACUAGCUGACCUUAGCAUGCAUGUCGAUAUGUUCAAUUGUUCAUGUCUAUCUGGGUAUGUUUGCAGACAAUGCGUUGCAAUUUUUAUUAAUGUUGGACAGGUUGAAUUUUUUCGGGUCAAGUGGGUUUGCUGAUUUCAGGUACUCAUCAUUAGUAAUGCCUAUUAUUUAACGUUUUCUAUUUUCAUGUACAGGCUUGGAUGCAUUGUAGAUAACUAUUGUGCCCAACUGGGAGUGAUGUAAGGUGGAGCUGGUUGAGGGAACCUGGAAGUACAGGCCAUCACUGCGUCCCUGCUGAGCUUCUUGUGNNNNNNNNNNNNNNNNNNNNACGCCACUGUAAUUUUAAAAAUAUUUAGUAUCAUAGUUAUCAAAUAUAUAUAUGGUGUCAAUAUAUAUCUGAUUUCAUGAUGUGAGACCUGCAGCGUCCUCUUAUAAUUUUAUUGUUAUGAGUUAGGAUUACCCCGUUCCUUGCAAAGCUCACUGCAUGAGGAUCGGUGUCAAAAAUAACAAACUGGAAUUUAGAGCUUGGUCGUUGUAUCAAAGUAAUUCAAAUCUAGAUAAAUCGGUCAUAUGAUAUUUGCCUUGCAAUCAAACAUCAGCUUAACGUGCCAAAGUGGGCAUCUUGAACACUUUUCUCCAAGGUAUACAUAUUAGAUAAUGGAGGGAUAGCGGAAGUGCGGUAGUUUCCUUUCGUGGCUUCCAUCUUGUGAGUCGAUUGCUUCGUGACUAUCUUAACUAUCGUUGAUGCUGAUGAACGACUGCCUCAUCCAGUGUUAAUGGACCGGGUUAGGCCGAUGCCUGAUUAGGGCGGCGGUUAAUAAAACUCAGGAUUAUGCCUGGGUGAACUUGUAACGGGUGUUUUUUUCCUAAAAAAUAUCUCACGGGUGUAUUAGACUUCAAGCCUUAAUCAGCCUCUGUGACCGAAGAGGUUAAAAAUGGACUUGGGCCUGCUUGGGCCUGGACAAGAGUCUCGAGCCAGUGGUGGGUUUAAACCCGACAGAACAUUAUCAUUGUUCUGAGCCAGGACGUCAACAUAUUUCAUCAGAAGAUACAAUUUUACAUUGAUUGCUACCACUGGCUCAUAGGAUGUCCUAACACCGGUAACGCAAGGAUAAAAUGUGGACGCGCAAACCAGCAAAUAUAUCCAGGAGAGUAUUUUCGAUCUGCCAAGCUAGAUUAGGCUAAUGAACAACUCAAGCACAUACACGUUAAUAAUAAAAUGUAAUUCUCUGUUAAUCUCCCCUUUUUGUAUCAGUUAUACAACAUAACUGUAUGUCAAAUGCUACAGUUUGUAAAUUAGAAUCCUUUGUUAGGUACAGAGUAACAUCAUAAUGCUCGUGAUUUUUCCAUGUCAACAUUUCAUGGAACGAGACACAGCUCAACAAUUGCAGCGCAUUUUGUACAAAAGACAAAAAAAUGCAGCACAUUAAUGUGUAUAAACAUUUUUAUAUGCAAUGUGUAUGUACAUAUAUAUAUAUAUGGAAAAGGGAAACUAAAUUGUAAGGUAGGCCCUGUAGGUGGGGGAAAAAAAAAUAAAAACCAUCUCCAUAUGUUUUGUAAUUACAUUUUUCUUUGCAGCAGUGGUCUCCAAUCAUGCAGUUGAUUUGGCUAGGGCUGCAGUUGAUCGUCUGGUAUCCACAAGGUUG